AUAUUUUAUAUAUUAAUAUUGUUAUCUUUAUUUAAUUUAUUAAUAUUUUGUUUAUAAAGAGGUUGUUAAGGAUAACUGGCUAGUAUAGAUAAGGAAGUGUGACUCAAAUCAUGGUUUUAAUAUGUUAUCAUGUAAAUCCUUGGGAGGGAAACCUCUGUGAUAAUAACGAAGUGAACUGAAACAUCUUAGUAACUUUAGGAAAAGAAAUCAACCGAGAUUUUAUGAGUAGUGGUGAGCGAAAGUAAAUUAGCCGAUUAUCUUAAUAAUUCCUAAAAAGAAUAAUACUAUUCAGGUAUUUAUUGUUUUGUUCUUCAAGAAGAAUGGAAUUCUUGUGUUAAAAAGUUGGAAAACUUUGAUCUCUUUGUAGUUCUAACUAUAACAGGUGAAAGUCCUUUGAAAACAAGGUUAAGAUAUAUAUAAAGUAAAAUGAGAGUAAACUUGUUUGAAGAAUUAAAGAAUAUGUGAGUAUUCUUUAGUAGGGGAACUAUCCUCUAAGGCUAAAUAUGCUAUACUAAGCGAUAGUACAGAGUACCGUGAGGGAAAGUUGAAAAGAAUACAAUAGUGAAUUCUAUUGGAAAGUGAAAUAGAUCUUGAAUUAAUAACCUUAUAAGCAGUUGAAGGAAUGUAAAAAAUUCUAACAACGUACCUUUUGCAUAAUGGGUCAGUAAGUUAAUAUCUAAUGCAAGUUGAAAGACCUAAAGAAUUUGAAUUUAAAGCAAGUGUAGAGUAUUAGGUAUUAGACCCGAAACCUAGUGAUCUUACCAUGAUCAGAUGCAAGAUCGAACUGGUGUGCGUUGCAAAGUACUCAGAAGAAUUGUGGUAAGGAGUGAAAUACAAAUCGGACUAGGAUAUAGCUGGUUUUCUGCGAAAUUUGUAUUAGCAAAGUGUUUAUGUAAUAAAUUAGUAGGUAUAGCACUGAAUAUUCAUUCAGAGGGAGUACGUAAGUAUUUAUCUCGGAUAUUUAAUCUCAGAAUGACUAAUUUAUAAGAUAAAUGGAUGGACUUUUUGCGAGAAGGUGGAAAGUCAAGAGGGAAACAGCCCAGAACAGAAUGAAAGCUCCCGAAUUAAAUUUGAGUGAAAGAAAGGAAGUGGUUUUUCAGAGACAGUCAGGAAGUGGGCUUGGAAACAGCCAUCUUUUAAAGAACACGUAAUAGUGCAAUGAUCUAUGAAAGAUUGCGCCAAAAAUACAGGAUCUAAAAUUUGUGCUUAAAUUCUGUCGUGAAGAAAUGAAUUGAAUUUCUUUAUGGGUAGCAGAACAUUUAGUAUCUAAAAGAAGAAUAAUCUUUGAUUGUUUGGAUAGAACUAAAGAGAGAAUGCUGACAUGAGUAACGUUAAAAUAGGUGAGAAAUCCUAUUCGCCGAAAUUGGCAGGUUUUUGUAGUAAAGCUUAACUGCUACAAGUGAAUCGGUCUCUAACAGUAACUCUAAGGAGUAAUGGAUGAGUAAGUAUAUAAAAAGUAAAAGAAGAGUAUAGCUCAGGAAAAAGUAUAUUGAUUAACCGUACUAAAACCGACACAGGUCUAAGGAUGCGUAAAGUAUUCAGGCGAAUGAGAGAAUUAUUGCGAAGGAACUCGGCAAAAUUAUUUCGUAAUUUUGAAAGAAGGAAUGACCUCUGAAUUGGGGGUCUCAAGAAAUGAGGUUGUACAACUGUUUACUUAAAACACAGUACUUUGCAAAGAUGAAAAUCGGAGUAUAAGGUAUGAGAUCUGCCCAAUGCUAAAAGAUGAACGAAGGGUGUAUGAGUAAUACUCCUGGAAAGAAGUCUUAGUGAAUGGCGGCCUUAACUAUAAGGGUCCUAAGGUAGCGAAAUUCCUUGGCCGUUAAAUGCGGUCCCGCAUGAAUGAUAGAAUGAUACAACAACUGUCUCCGCAAUAAACUCAGUGAAAUUGGAAUAGCCGUGCAGAUACGGUUUAUGUGUAGAAAGACGGGAAGACCCUAUGCAGCUUUACUGUAAUUUGUCAUGGAUAAGUCUUUUUAAAAAAGUGUAGAAUAGAAGGUAGUCGAUGAGACACAGAUGAAAUCCCUUUAUUUUCUAAGAAGAAAUCUGACUCUUUCUAUAGAGGACAGUGAUGGAUGGACAGUUUAUGUGGGGCGCAUAUCUCAAAAAGAGUAUCUGAGAUGUCCGAAGGUAAAGUAAAAUUGGAUGGUAACCAAUCAAUGUAAGGAAUUCUUGUUUCUUUAAAGUAUUUCUUUGAAGAAGUUGUUUUAUUGGGAAAAGUAUAAUGAUAGAACUUUGCUUAACAGUAAGACUGACAAGUCGAACUGACACGUAAGUGGGGCAUAGUGACCCUCGUUAACAAAAUGGAAUGUGACGAGCUCAACGGAUAAAAGCUACGCUAGGGAUAACAGGGUAAUUUCGUGUGAGAGAUCCUAUUGACCACGAAGUUUGCCACCUCGAUGUCGACUCAACCUAUCCUCCAGGAGUAGAAUAUUGGAAGGGUUCGGCUGUUCGCCGAUUAAAAGGUUACGUGAGUUGGGUUAAAAACGUUGUAAAACAGUUUGGUUCCUAUCUUCUAUGCAGAGUAAAGUUCUAGAAGAAUUUGUUCUUUGUACGCAAGGAUCGGAAUGAAGAAACCUCUGGUUUAACUGUUGUACUCUUUUGUUCUCUUCUUCUCUUCAAAGAGUAAAAAAAUUUAGAGUGCAUGUAGUUUGGCUAUGUUUCUAAAGAAUAAAAAUUGAAGGCAUCUCAAAUUUGAAGUCUCUCUUCAGUAACUUUGAAAACGUUAAAGAUGAUAACGUGAAUAGGCUUUAUUUGUAAGAAUAGUAAUAUUUUAAGAUAUAAAGUACUAAUAUUUUCUAAACAGGCUAUAUACUUAUCGA
This 2819-nucleotide ribosomal RNA is filed under the name Pneumocystis oryctolagi. RNAcentral's name for it is "large subunit ribosomal RNA". It matches the Rfam family "Bacterial large subunit ribosomal RNA". The record is from RNAcentral. Lineage: Eukaryota; Fungi; Ascomycota; Pneumocystomycetes; Pneumocystales; Pneumocystaceae.